AAGUCGUAACAAGGUCUCCGUUGGUGAACCAGCGGAGGGAUCAUUACAGAGUGUUCUAAACACCCUAAACCCCUGUGAACCUACCAGUCGUUGCUUCGGCGGGAUCGCCCCGGGCGCCUCACAGCGCCCCGGAACCAGGCGCCCGCCGGGGGAAACCAAACUCUUCUGUUUAUUUUUCUGUUUACUGUAUACUAUCUGAGUAAAAUCAUAUAAUGAAUCAAAACUUUCAACAACGGAUCUCUUGGUUCUG
This is an unclassified non-coding RNA of 250 nucleotides. The stretch from base 1 to 46 matches the Rfam family "Eukaryotic small subunit ribosomal RNA", at positions 1786 to 1831 of the family's 1831-position model.